CGGACGGGUGAGUAACGCGUGAGAAUCUGGCUUCAGGUCUGGGACAACCACUGGAAACGGUGGCUAAUACCGGAUGUGCCGAGAGGUGAAAGGUUAACUGCCUGAAGAUGAGCUCGCGUCUGAUUAGCUAGUUGGUAGAGUAAGAGCCUACCAAGGCGACGAUCAGUAGCUGGUCUGAGAGGACGAUCAGCCACACUGGGACUGAGACACGGCCCAGACUCCUACGGGAGGCAGCAGUGGGGAAUUUUCCGCAAUGGGCGAAAGCCUGACGGAGCAAUACCGCGUGAGGGAGGAAGGCUCUUGGGUCGUAAACCUCUUUUCUCAGGGAAGAACACAAUGACGGUACCUGAGGAAUAAGCAUCGGCUAACUCCGUGCCAGCAGCCGCGGUAAUACGGAGGAUGCAAGCGUUAUCCGGAAUGAUUGGGCGUAAAGCGUCCGCAGGUGGCAAUGUAAGUCUGCUGUUAAAGAGUCUAGCUCAACUAGAUAAGAGCAGUGGAAACUACAUAGCUAGAGUACGUUCGGGGCAGAGGGAAUUCCUGGUGUAGCGGUGAAAUGCGUAGAGAUCAGGAGGAACACCAGUGGCGAAGGCGCUCUGCUAGGCCGUAACUGACACUGAGGGACGAAAGCUAGGGGAGCGAAUGGGAUUAGAUACCCCAGUAGUC
Molecule: ribosomal RNA, 663 nt
Filed under: uncultured cyanobacterium
Lineage: Bacteria; Bacillati; Cyanobacteriota
Description: bacterial SSU rRNA
Rfam family: Bacterial small subunit ribosomal RNA
Source: RNAcentral